ACACUCUAAAGUUGAAAUAAUUAUUAUCUUUAUUAGUUUAAUAUCUGAUAUGUGGUCAAAUGAAUUAUACGAUAUUGAAUUACUUUUUUGAAGGGAAGAAACCAUCACAAUAGUUUGCUAUUGAACCUUUCGAGUGUCACCUAUACGUUGCACUGUUGCAUAAGCUGGCGCACCUUAA
This 178-nucleotide small nuclear RNA is filed under the name Medicago truncatula (barrel medic). RNAcentral's name for it is "sRNA gene996". It matches the Rfam family "U2 spliceosomal RNA". Rfam says of the family: U2 is a small nuclear RNA (snRNA) component of the spliceosome (involved in pre-mRNA splicing). Complementary binding between U2 snRNA (in an area lying towards the 5' end but 3' to hairpin I) and the branchpoint sequence (BPS) of the intron results the bulging out of an unpaired adenosine, on the BPS, which initiates a nucleophilic attack at the intronic 5' splice site, thus starting the first of two transesterification reactions that mediate splicing. The record is from RNAcentral. Lineage: Eukaryota; Viridiplantae; Streptophyta; Magnoliopsida; Fabales; Fabaceae.